Molecule: ribosomal RNA, 326 nt
Filed under: uncultured eukaryote
Lineage: Eukaryota
Description: partial 18S ribosomal RNA
Rfam family: Eukaryotic small subunit ribosomal RNA
Source: RNAcentral
CCCUUAGAUGUUCUGGGCUGCACGCGCGCUACACUGAUGCGCUCAACGAGUUUUAACCUUGCCUGGAAAGGUUGGGUAAUCUUUUUAAAACGCAUCGUGAUGGGGAUAGAUUAUUGCAAUUAUUAAUCUUCAACGAGGAAUUCCUAGUAAACGCGAGUCAUCAGCUCGCAUUGAUUGCGUCCCUGCCCUUUGUACACACCGCCCGUCGCACCUACCGAUUGAAUGGUUCGGUGAAGAUCUCGGACUUCGAUAUUUAUUCUUUAUUGAGUUUAUAUUGUGGGAAGUUAUCUAAACCUCAUCAUUUAGAGGAAGGUGAAGUCGUAACA